RNAcentral lists this ribosomal RNA (729 nucleotides) under uncultured Cytophagaceae bacterium. RNAcentral describes it as "bacterial SSU rRNA". It matches the Rfam family "Bacterial small subunit ribosomal RNA", at positions 94 to 825 of the family's 1533-position model. Lineage: Bacteria; Pseudomonadati; Bacteroidota; Cytophagia; Cytophagales; Cytophagaceae. The record is from RNAcentral.
AGUGGCGCACGGGUGCGUAACGCGUAGGCAACCUACCUUCAACAGGGGGACAACCCGGGGAAACUCGGGCUAAUACCGCGUAAUAUCAAUGGGGGCAUCCUUGUUGGUUGAAAGAAAUUCGGUUGAAGAUGGGCCUGCGUCCCAUUAGCUAGUUGGGGGGGUAACGGCCCACCAAGGCGACGAUGGGUAGGGGAACUGAGAGGUUGGUCCCCCACACUGGUACUGAGAUACGGACCAGACUCCUACGGGAGGCAGCAGUAAGGAAUAUUGGUCAAUGGGCGAGAGCCUGAACCAGCCAUGCCGCGUGCCGGACGAAGCCUUUUGGGGUGUAAACGGCUUUUUCCAGGGAAGAAAAUGGGCUUGCGAGCCUCACUGCCGGUACCUGGGGAAUAAGCACCGGCUAACUACGUGCCAGCAGCCGCGGUAAUACGUAGGGUGCGAGCGUUGUCCGGAUUUAUUGGGUUUAAAGGGUGCGUAGGUGGCUUGGUAAGCCUUGGGUGAAAGGCUACGGCUUAACCGUAGGAAUGCCUGAGAGACUGCCCGGCUUGAGUAUCGUGGAGGUAGCUGGAAUUGGUGGUGUAGCGGUGAAAUGCAUAGAUACCACCAGGAACACCGAUUGCGUAGGCAGGCUACUACGGGAUAACUGACACUGAGGCACGAAAGCGUGAGGAGCGAACAGGAUUAGAUACCCUGGUAGUUCACGCUGUAAACGAUGAGGACUCGUUGUUG